AUUCAGGGUCAAGUUUGCAUG
Molecule: unclassified non-coding RNA, 21 nt
Filed under: Chlamydomonas reinhardtii
Lineage: Eukaryota; Viridiplantae; Chlorophyta; Chlorophyceae; Chlamydomonadales; Chlamydomonadaceae
Description: small RNA Cre_0805
Source: RNAcentral